RNAcentral lists this transfer RNA (66 nucleotides) under Alectorobius peruvianus. RNAcentral describes it as "tRNA-Gln". The record is from RNAcentral. Lineage: Eukaryota; Metazoa; Arthropoda; Arachnida; Ixodida; Argasidae.
UAAUUUUUGGUGUAUGGCACAUUAAAUUUUGAAUUUAAAGGAAAUGUUUCUAGUCAUUGAAAUUAA